Molecule: long non-coding RNA, 1691 nt
Organism: Musca domestica (house fly)
Lineage: Eukaryota; Metazoa; Arthropoda; Insecta; Diptera; Muscidae
Exons: 5
Source: RefSeq, a predicted model, not a curated record
CUUCUUUUUCUUUGGUAAAUGUACGUACAAAUCGAAUGGUUAACAUGUUUAACUUAGAACUAUAGUCGUCUUGUUCUAUUAUACAGUGAAGUCGUAAAGAUAUGCUACUUAGCGUAAUAUGAGAAUGUAUUAUUUUUCGUGCAAGGUGAAAAGAGAAAAUGAGGCUUGCUCCCGGCCUCCGCUGAUACGAGCAGCGCUUUGACGUCUGCAGUAAUAAUAAAUAAGGAAUCAAAACAAACUAAAAAACUAAAUAACAAAGUGGUCUGUUAAAACAGUGUCGAACAGAGGGUAUAAAAGUGAUAGUUUUUAAAUAUAAUUGUAUGCUUAAUGUAUAGUUUAUCACAGUUAAUCGAGUGCUCAAAGAGCUUUUUUUUUAUGUGUAGUAAAAUAACAUUAUCACAGAUAAAUGUAUCAUAUAAUAAUAAUCGAGUGCUCAGUGAGCUUAUAUGUAAAAACAAUUAUAUGGAACCUUAUGUGCCAGACGCGAUUUUUUGGUAGAAUUGUGGCAAGUUGUGGUCAAGAAGGCUUUCAAGCGAUUCGUUCAAAAUUCCUACAGAUGAUAGAUAGUUUUCAUGCGUGGCAAGUUUUUCGACGAAUGUUAAUUGUUGGCGUUGGGCAUAUUCACAAAGAGGAACAACAUUUGACGCAGUAUAAAUGACUUCUAAUUCUUUGGCCACUGUUGGGGAAACAGAGAACCAGAUCGGAAAUCCAUAGAGCAAAAUAGGACGGAUUGCUACCUUGUAGAGGAGGAGUUUUGUUUUUUGAGGUAGGUGUUUAUUGUUUAACACAUAUGCAAAUCUUGCUAAAACACCUUUUCCUUUUUUCAUGAUUGAGCGGGCAUGGAAAUUAAAUUUCAUUAAGUUGUUGAAUUGGAUGCCGAGAUAUUUGAUAGAGGUUCUGAAUGGUAUGUUUACGCCAUCCAAGGACAGUUGUAGUGAUUUGCUCUCUGGGACAACGUACCAUGGACAUUUUCCGGAGGCGUUACGUAUGCAGAUUGCAACAGACUUCGCGGCGUUUAUUUGUAUACCCCACUUUUUGUAGUAGCUGUUGAUGUUCUGAAGGUGAUUUUUUGCGUUAUUUAAUGCAAUUGAUGGUGAUGUGUGAUGCGCAUAAAUGAGGCAAUCAUCGGCGUAUAAAAUUGCUUUUGAGUUUUGACUAAUGUGAGGGAAGUCGUGAAGGAAUAGAUUGAAGAGAAAUGGUGCCAAAAUACUGCCUUGUGGAACUCCGCUAUUUACUUCUCCUGGAGGAUUAACUCGAAGAUUUUCCCAAUGUUGGACAACAACGAAAUUGGCCGAAAGUCAUCAACAAACACAGCAUUCGGCUUUUUUUUAAUUGGGAUGAUUUGGGCGCGUUUCCAUUGUAUUGGAAAAUACCCAUUGUUGAUGCAAUUGUUGAACAGACAGGUGAAAAAUCUUAUUGUUGAGUCCGGAAAUUUUUUAAGUAUAAAGUUUGAUAUGCCAUCGGAUCCACAAGAUCUUUUUGAAUUGGUAGUAGCAAUAACACUCUUUACUUUUUCAGGAGUAGUAAAAUGAUGGGAGUCGGGAUUGUCCAGGACAUUGAAUUCGUCAUUGAAAGUGUAAAUGUAAGGUGUUGUGGCGUCAAUACACGAUGAAACCCUGGAAUUCAGAUCGUGAACUGGAUGUAGAGGCAAUUUCUCUAUGAAAAUUGAUGAAUAAAAUAAUUGAAACUUA